RNAcentral lists this long non-coding RNA (242 nucleotides) under Mytilus galloprovincialis (Mediterranean mussel). Lineage: Eukaryota; Metazoa; Mollusca; Bivalvia; Mytilida; Mytilidae. The record is from RNAcentral.
CGCCCCUUUGAACUUAUUUACUUUUAUGUACUACUGCAACAGUUUGUCAUCGCAACUCCUCUCAAACCACACAACAGAAUUUCACGAAACCUUUUCAGAUAAUAAGGACAUACUAUGUAGUUGUGCAUAUCGACGGUAAAUUGCGAUUCAAUUUUUUUUUCUAGGAGUUACGCCCCUUUGAACUUAUUUACUUUAAUGUACUACUGCAACAGUUUGUCAUCGCAACUCCUCUCAAACCAUAC